CCUUGGUCAGGUUGAAGUGCAGGUAACACUGAAUGGAGGACCGAACCGACUUACGUGGAAAAGUGAGCGGAUGAACUGGGGGUAGCGGAGAAAUGCCAAUCGAACUUGGAGAUAGCUGGUUCGCUCCGAAAUAGCUUUAGGGCUAGCCUCAAGUGAUGAUUAUUGGGGGUAGAGCACUGUUUGGACGAGGGGCCCCUCUCGGGUUACCGAAUUCAGACAAACUCCGAAUGCCAAUUAAUUUAACUUGGGAGUCAGAACAUGGGUGAUAAGGUCCGUGUUCGAAAGGGAAACAGCCCAGACCACCAGCUAAGGUCCCAAAAUAUAUGUUAAGUGGAAAAGGAUGUGGCGUUGCCCAGACAACUAGGAUGUUGGCUUAGAAGCAGCCAUCAUUUAAAGAGUGCGUAAUAGCUCACUAGUCGAGUGACACUGCGCCGAAAAUGUAACGGGGCUAAACAUAUUACCGAAGCUGUGGAUUGUCCUUUGGACAAUGGUAGGAGAGCGUUCUAAGGGCGUCGAAGCAUGAUCGCAAGGACAUGUGGAGCACUUAGAAGUGAGAAUGCCGGUGUGAGUAGCGAAAGACGGGUGAGAAUCACAGUCCACCGAUUGACUAAGGUUUCCAGAGGAAGGCUCGUCCGCUCUGGGUUAGUCGGGUCCUAAGCUGAGGCCGACAGGCGUCGGCGAUGGAUAACAGCUUGAUA
This 698-nucleotide ribosomal RNA is filed under the name Staphylococcus epidermidis. RNAcentral's name for it is "bacterial LSU rRNA". It matches the Rfam family "Bacterial large subunit ribosomal RNA", at positions 734 to 1435 of the family's 2925-position model. The record is from RNAcentral. Lineage: Bacteria; Bacillati; Bacillota; Bacilli; Caryophanales; Staphylococcaceae.